AUGAAAAUCAGACCGGAAGUAGUAUUGCUCGGAAGGGCGACAGGAAUAUGUGGAACUUGUGUGUGGAAUGUUAAAUCCCUAGCCUCUGAUAAUCUCGCUACAAAGCAGAACAAAUGGAAGAGGAAUUUGGAAAGAGAUGGUAGGUGCAAUAUAUGUGGUAUGGCGGAUGAGAAUGGUUUUCUGCUGUGGCGAAAUGUACAAAUGCCUGGGCCUUGCGAGAUCAGAUGCGAGGGGUGGGGAUCUUUGGGAGGAAAGGGUUUUCAAAUACAGUCAGUCUCUGAUCCUCCUCGCCAAAAUCAAACCGAAGUAGCGUGGUUUGGUCCUUUUAGUCUUUUGGCAUGGUUGGUUCCUACGAAAUGA
This 360-nucleotide ribosomal RNA is filed under the name Triticum aestivum (bread wheat). RNAcentral describes it as "partial small subunit ribosomal RNA". The record is from RNAcentral. Lineage: Eukaryota; Viridiplantae; Streptophyta; Magnoliopsida; Poales; Poaceae.